GAUGAACGCUGGCGGCGUGCCUAACACAUGCAAGUCGAGCGAACGGACGAGAAGCUUGCUUUUUUGAUGUUAGCGGCGGACGGGCGAGUAACACGUGGAUAACCUACCUAUAAGACUGGGAUAACUUCGGGAAACCGGAGCUAAUACCGGAUAAUAUUUUGAACCGCAUGGUUCAAAAGUGAAAGACGGCCUUGCUGUCACUUAUAGAUGGAUCCGCGCUGCAUUAGCUAGUUGGUAAGGUAACGGCUUACCAAGGCAACGAUGCGUAGCCGACCUGAGAGGAUGAUCGGCCACACUGGAACUGAGACACGGUCCAGACUCCUACGGGAGGCAGCAGUAGGGAAUCUUCCGCAAUGGGCGAAAGCCUGACGGAGCAACGCCGCGUGAGUGAUGAAGGUCUUCGGAUCGUAAAGCUCUGUUAUUAGGGAAGAACAUCAGUAUAAGUAACUCUGCACGUCUUGACGGUACCUAAUCAGUAAGCACCGGCUAACUACGUG
RNAcentral lists this ribosomal RNA (497 nucleotides) under uncultured bacterium. RNAcentral's name for it is "partial 16S ribosomal RNA". It matches the Rfam family "Bacterial small subunit ribosomal RNA", at positions 28 to 507 of the family's 1533-position model. The record is from RNAcentral.